GAGUUUGAUCCUGGCUCAGGACGAACGCUGGCGGCGUGCUUAACACAUGCAAGUCGAGCGGUAAGGCCUUUCGGGGUACACGAGCGGCGAACGGGUGAGUAACACGUGGGUGAUCUGCCCUGCACUUCGGGAUAAGCCUGGGAAACUGGGUCUAAUACCGGAUAUGACCUCCUAUCGCAUGGUGGGUGGUGGAAAGAUUUAUCGGUGCAGGAUGGGCCCGCGGCCUAUCAGCUUGUUGGUGGGGUAAUGGCCUACCAAGGCGACGACGGGUAGCCGACCUGAGAGGGUGACCGGCCACACUGGGACUGAGACACGGCCCAGACUCCUACGGGAGGCAGCAGUGGGGAAUAUUGCACAAUGGGCGAAAGCCUGAUGCAGCGACGCCGCGUGAGGGACGACGGCCUUCGGGUUGUAAACCUCUUUCAGCAGGGACGAAGCGCAAGUGACGGUACCUGCAGAAGAAGCACCGGCUAACUACGUGCCAGCAGCCGCGGUAAUACGUAGGAUGCAAGCGUUGUCCGGAAUUACUGGGCGUAAAGAGUUCGUAGGCGGUUUGUCACGUCGUUUGUGAAAACUCGCAGCUCAACUGUGAGCCUGCAGGCGAUACGGGCAGACUUGAGUACUGCAGGGGAGACUGGAAUUCCUGGUGUAGCGGUGAAAUGCGCAGAUAUCAGGAGGAACACCGGUGGCGAAGGCGGGUCUCUGGGCAGUAACUGACGCUGAGGAGCGAAAGCGUGGGGAGCGAACAGGAUUAGAUACCCUGGUAGUC
RNAcentral lists this ribosomal RNA (769 nucleotides) under uncultured bacterium. RNAcentral describes it as "bacterial SSU rRNA". It matches the Rfam family "Bacterial small subunit ribosomal RNA", at positions 9 to 795 of the family's 1533-position model. The record is from RNAcentral.